This 748-nucleotide ribosomal RNA is filed under the name Pseudomonas monteilii. Its description in RNAcentral is "bacterial SSU rRNA". It matches the Rfam family "Bacterial small subunit ribosomal RNA", at positions 44 to 788 of the family's 1533-position model. The record is from RNAcentral. Lineage: Bacteria; Pseudomonadati; Pseudomonadota; Gammaproteobacteria; Pseudomonadales; Pseudomonadaceae.
AAGAGGGCACCUAGCAGUCGAGCGGAUGACGGGAGCUUGCUCCUUGAUUCAGCGGCGGACGGGUGAGUAAUGCCUAGGAAUCUGCCUGGUAGUGGGGGACAACGUUCCGAAAGGAGCGCUAAUACCGCAUACGUCCUACGGGAGAAAGUGGGGGAUCUUCGGACCUCACGCUAUCAGAUGAGCCUAGGUCGGAUUAGCUAGUUGGUGAGGUAAAGGCUCACCAAGGCGACGAUCCGUAACUGGUCUGAGAGGAUGAUCAGUCACACUGGAACUGAGACACGGUCCAGACUCCUACGGGAGGCAGCAGUGGGGAAUAUUGGACAAUGGGCGAAAGCCUGAUCCAGCCAUGCCGCGUGUGUGAAGAAGGUCUUCGGAUUGUAAAGCACUUUAAGUUGGGAGGAAGGGCAGUAAGUUAAUACCUUGCUGUUUUGACGUUACCGACAGAAUAAGCACCGGCUAACUCUGUGCCAGCAGCCGCGGUAAUACAGAGGGUGCAAGCGUUAAUCGGAAUUACUGGGCGUAAAGCGCGCGUAGGUGGUUCGUUAAGUUGGAUGUGAAAGCCCCGGGCUCAACCUGGGAACUGCAUCCAAAACUGGCGAGCUAGAGUAUGGUAGAGGGUGGUGGAAUUUCCUGUGUAGCGGUGAAAUGCGUAGAUAUAGGAAGGAACACCAGUGGCGAAGGCGACCACCUGGACUGAUACUGACACUGAGGUGCGAAAGCGUGGGGAGCAAACAGGAUUAGAUACCCU